UAGUACACAGACUCGAUAGAUCUUGAACUUUGUCACAGCAGAAAUAAGUUUGAGUCCAUAAUCAACCACAUCGUCAUCUUGCAGGAGGUGGUGAGAUCUAUUCAUCAAAGAAUGUCCAGUCUGCUACAAUUAUUUGAAUACUGCUUUUGCCCAAGGUAGAUGAAGUCGGUCUCCACAGUACUUGACUCCACCUUCACUAUGGCUGCUGCUGCUGGCCCAGCUCUGAGGUUCUGGACCUUGGUCUUCUGCCAUGAGAUGUUCAACCCCAUAGUGCAGUGUCCAAGUGUCAUGGGGACUGGCCCUUUCAAGGGAGUCAGGGAGCAGCCUACCUGUGACAGGCUCUGCCAAGGAGAGUGAGCCAACUCAGAUCCACUUACCCUCCAAUGGGCCACGGCUACAAUAAUACUGAGACUGACAAUGGAAGAUAUUGAACUUUGCUAUCUGAAAUGGAAACUCCACAACAUGAAGGAAGCAAAACUCAGCAACUACUUCCUGAGCAAAUGCAAGAAACAAAACUUCCUCAGAGGACUCACUAUCUAUAACCUUCUGACAACUACAUACAACUCUAAAUAUGCUGAACAGGUCUGCAGAACGACUUCAGGAAAAUUGAGAAACCGUCUCAUGUACUCCAGAAAGGACCAUCUCAAGCAAAUCGUCACAUGCUCCCAUACACCAGAAGAGAAAAAUCAAGAACCCUAUCUGGAGAUUUUGCAAAAAACUCAAAACUACUAUCAAAAAACUCUGAUGGUAGCCAUCCAACACAAAAACAAAAAGUGGAACCAACUAGAACAGCUCCACAAUCCACAAGAAG
Long non-coding RNA from Mauremys reevesii (Reeves's turtle), 811 nucleotides. RefSeq lists it as uncharacterized. The transcript has 3 exons. The record is from RefSeq and is a predicted model, not a curated record. NCBI's taxonomy places the organism in Eukaryota, Metazoa, Chordata, Testudines, Geoemydidae.